GCGGACUGGCGAGUAACACUGGCGUAGCCUGCCUGCAGACUGGCACGGUCCUGGAUCCGGGUUUCAUACCAUACGCUUGUUUGACCCUCAAGUUUCAACAGCGAUCCGGCUUCGGCUACCACUUACGGAUGGAGCUUCGGCGCACUAUCUAGUUGCCCUUUGUUCUGCUCUUGUGGCAACUAUGCAUACCAGACCUGAGAGGGUGAUCGGCCACACUGUGACUGACACCUUGCCCCGACUCCUACCGGAGGCUCCACUUAGGAAUCCUCCGUGAUGGACGAAAGUCUGAAUGAGCGGCUGCGCUCGAGUGAUGACUGUUUUCGGAUCCUCACGCUCUGUUGUUAGGGAAGAACAAGUACCGUUCGAAUAGGGCGGUACCUUGACGGUACCUAACCAGAAAGCCACGGCUAACUACGUGCCAGCAGCCGCGGUAAUACGUAUGUGGCAAGCGUUGUCCCGAAUUAUUGCGCGUAAAGGGCUCGCAGGCGGUUUCUUUGUCUGAUGUGAAAGCCCCCGGCUCAACCGGGGAGGGUCAUUGGAAACUGGGGAACUUGAGUGCAGAAGAGGAGAGUGGAAUUCCACGUGUAGCGGUGAAAAUGCGUAGAGAUGUGGAGGAACACCAGUGGCGAAGGCGACUCUCUGGUCUGUAACUGACGCUGAUGAGCGAAAACGUGGGGAGCGAACAGGAUUAGAUACCCUGGGAGUCCUCGCCGUAAAAAAUGAGUGCUAAGUGUUACGGGGGUUUUCUCCCCCUUAUUGCUGCACCAACUCAUUAAGAACUUCCCCCGGGGGAGUAGGGUCGCUACACUUAAACUUAAAAGAAUUGACUGGGAGCCCGCUCAGCGCUGGAACAUGUGGUUUAUUUGAAGCCUACCUAAUAACCUUACUCGUGCUGGCAUCCUCUGACAUCUUCAAGAUAGGAAUCCUCUUCGUGCGGCACAAUUACAGCGGUGCAUGGUCUUUCCUCACAUCGGCCUUACAUUUGAGAUAAUUCCUCAACAACGCAACGCUGCAUCUAAUUGUCAUCAUU
RNAcentral lists this ribosomal RNA (1030 nucleotides) under uncultured Bacillus sp. RNAcentral describes it as "bacterial SSU rRNA". It matches the Rfam family "Bacterial small subunit ribosomal RNA", at positions 98 to 1125 of the family's 1533-position model. The record is from RNAcentral. Lineage: Bacteria; Bacillati; Bacillota; Bacilli; Caryophanales; Bacillaceae.